RNAcentral lists this microRNA precursor (105 nucleotides) under Canis lupus familiaris (dog). RNAcentral's name for it is "mir-8834 microRNA precursor family". It matches the Rfam family "mir-8834 microRNA precursor family". RNAcentral also lists the same sequence under 1 other name. The record is from Rfam by way of RNAcentral. Lineage: Eukaryota; Metazoa; Chordata; Mammalia; Carnivora; Canidae.
AGGAGGAACAACCCCAGUGGCGGGGCCAGCUCUGGAGCCCUGGAGUCAGCCCCCGCAGUAACUCCAGAGCUCUCAGUCUGCAGGGCCUGGAGGCUCCGGGGCGGG